GGGAACCGUAUGCGGGAAAGCCGCACGCACGGUUCUGUGUGGGGGCGCUGGUCACGACGCAGGAACCGGCGUGCGCCACCCUUAG
This 85-nucleotide non-coding RNA is filed under the name Rhizobiales bacterium GAS191. RNAcentral also lists the same sequence under 2 other names. The record is from RNAcentral. Lineage: Bacteria; Pseudomonadati; Pseudomonadota; Alphaproteobacteria; Hyphomicrobiales.